UCGAGCGAGCUUGCCUAGAUGAGUUUGGUGCUUGCACCAGAUGAAACUAGAUACAAGCGAGCGGCGGACGGGUGAGUAACACGUGGGUAACCUGCCCAAGAGACUGGGAUAACACCUGGAAACAGAUGCUAAUACCGGAUAACAACACUAGACGCAUGUCUAGAGUUUAAAAGAUGGUUCUGCUAUCACUCUUGGAUGGACCUGCGGUGCAUUAGCUAGUUGGUAAGGUAACGGCUUACCAAGGCAAUGAUGCAUAGCCGAGUUGAGAGACUGAUCGGCCACAUUGGGACUGAGACACGGCCCAAACUCCUACGGGAGGCAGCAGUAGGGAAUCUUCCACAAUGGACGCAAGUCUGAUGGAGCAACGCCGCGUGAGUGAAGAAGGGUUUCGGCUCGUAAAGCUCUGUUGGUAGUGAAGAAAGAUAGAGGUAGUAACUGGCCUUUAUUUGACGGUAAUUACUUAGAAAGUCACGGCUAACUACGUGCCAGCAGCCGCGGUAAUACGUAGGUGGCAAGCGUUGUCCGGAUUUAUUGGGCGUAAAGCGAGUGCAGGCGGUACAAUAAGUCUGAUGUGAAAGCCUUCGGCUCAACCGGAGAAUUGCAUCAGAAACUGUUGAACUUGAGUGCAGAAGAGGAGAGUGGAACUCCAUGUGUAGCGGUGGAAUGCGUAGAUAUAUGGAAGAACACCAGUGGCGAAGGCGGCUCUCUGGUCUGCAACUGACGCUGAGGCUCGAAAGCAUGGGUAGCGAAC
Molecule: ribosomal RNA, 751 nt
Filed under: uncultured bacterium
Lineage: Bacteria
Description: bacterial SSU rRNA
Rfam family: Bacterial small subunit ribosomal RNA
Source: RNAcentral